GGUACCUUUAAUUCAGUCCCGUGAGGCUGGCAAGGACAGCGGAUAUGUGUGAAGAGCGUAGGGUUACGUCUAUGGAAUGGAAUAGGUGUACCUAUGUCUCUUUGUGCAAAAAGCUUCUUGUCGCUAGACGGCAGGAAGCUUUUUUUGU
This is a regulatory RNA element of Pontibacillus marinus BH030004 = DSM 16465, 148 nucleotides long. It matches the Rfam family "PyrR binding site". From Rfam's summary of the family: This family represents the PyrR binding site and terminator structure. The record is from Rfam. Lineage: Bacteria; Bacillati; Bacillota; Bacilli; Caryophanales; Bacillaceae.